GUGAGGAAUGGCUGGUGGGGCUGGGAGAUUGAGUGGUGGUGGUGGGGUGAGGACUGAGGAUAGAGACAGGGAAGGCCCAGCUGUCAUGAAACAGGGAGGAGAGUGGACGGUAGAUCCCGAAACUGGAGACAGAGCUUCUGCAUGGCUGGUAGAACUGAAGGGCCCCAGCUACGGAAAAACGGGUUGAAAGACCUCAAUCUCACCAAGAUGGGCACCCCCGUGAGCGAGUCAUAGAGAAAGACGAUGGCGCUGACCAAGUUGGUGACCUGCAAGGAUGUCUUGGCAGAUUCAGAGCCAUCCAGCGAGGACCGCCGCUUCCCUCGGGUGUCCUCCACCACGAUGGCUGGCACCUCAAAAGCUGGCCGGGUACCCAAGCCCCCCAGCCCACCUGCCUUGGCUCCCACGCUGCCCCCCGCUCUCCGGGCUUGCCGAGCCCUCCGGGGCCGGGCCCACAGUGUCUGAUAGAACGUGAUGGCCACACAGACCAACCCCAUGACAAUGCCCCCAAGGAGCAAGAGGCUGAAGCAGACACCAAAGCCCAGGCCAAUCUUGGAGACUAUGAACUGGCAGCCUCGGGCGUAGUAGCGCUCCCCGUUGUUGUGCCAGCCGAUGGAGGGCAGCGUGGACAGGAUAAAGCUGACCAUCCAGAUGCCCA
This 655-nucleotide long non-coding RNA is filed under the name Rattus norvegicus (Norway rat). Its description in RNAcentral is "long non-coding RNA NONRATT020893". Lineage: Eukaryota; Metazoa; Chordata; Mammalia; Rodentia; Muridae. The record is from RNAcentral.